This 439-nucleotide ribosomal RNA is filed under the name uncultured bacterium. Its description in RNAcentral is "partial 16S ribosomal RNA". It matches the Rfam family "Bacterial small subunit ribosomal RNA", at positions 339 to 795 of the family's 1533-position model. The record is from RNAcentral.
CUACGGGGGGCUGCAGUGAGGAAUAUUGCACAAUGGGGGGAACCCUGAUGCAGCAACGCCGCGUGGAGGAUGACGCAUUUCGGUGUGUAAACUCCUUUUAUAUGUCAAGAAAAUGACGGUAGCAUAUGGAUAAGCACCGGCUAACUCCGUGCCAGCAGCCGCGGUAAUACGGAGGGUGCAAGCGUUACUCGGAAUCACUGGGCGUAAAGGACGCGUAGGCGGGUUGGAAAGUCAGGUGUGAAAUCCUACAGCUUAACUGUAGAACUGCACUUGAAACUUCUAAUCUAGAGUAUGGGAGGGGGAGAUGGAAUUCGUGGUGUAGGGGUAAAAUCCGUAGAUAUCACUAGGAAUACCUAAAGCGAAGGCGAUCUCCUGGAACAUUACUGACGCUAAGGCGUGAAAGCGUGGGGAGCAAACAGGAUUAGAUACCCCUGUAGUC